UAAUAAGUGCUUUAUGGCACUUUUUUAAAUCCAUAUCCACCUUGUGUGCAAUGUCAGUCGAUCUUCUUCAUGGAGAUCGACCAAACAUCAACCUUUAUCUUUUAACUCUUUGUCUGAAAAAUAUUAUGAAUAAACAAUUCAAAAUA
Molecule: unclassified non-coding RNA, 146 nt
Filed under: soil metagenome
Description: partial internal transcribed spacer 1
Source: RNAcentral